Molecule: non-coding RNA, 1972 nt
Organism: Pogona vitticeps (central bearded dragon)
Lineage: Eukaryota; Metazoa; Chordata; Lepidosauria; Squamata; Agamidae
Source: RefSeq, a predicted model, not a curated record
UCCUGGGCUAAGCCUGGGGAUGGGGAAGGCUUGGGGCUCAGAGCCGGGAGAAAGGGAGCCUUGGCUUCAGGGGGAGUCCCUGGAAGAGCCAGGCGCCUCUUCCCUUCCCAGGGUGGGAUUAUUGAGUCUCCUCUGGGGGGAAUGACCCCCCCCCAAACUCCCCUCCUUCCUUCCAGCCUGUGAAGCCAAGCCCUCCCCACGGAUUCCCCCCCCUUUUGACCUCGGAGAGCUGGAAACCAGUGAUUGGCAUUUGCACUGGUGGGGGACUGGACUGGAAGGAAGCAUACUGGGAAGUGGGGGGGGUUAAGAAAAGUGACCCUCCCUCCCUUUGUUGCCUGGGGAGAAGAUGGCUUUCGUCGUGGGGCCCUUUCUGCACAGCAGAUCCUUGACUUGCAAAGGCAGAAAAGACCCCCCCCCAAUAGAAGAGUGAAAAAACAAGGUUGGGAAGGCUUAAUUAGAGGGUGGGUGGAGUUUAUUAAUCCAUUCAAUUUUGGGACAGAACCAGUGAUCAGGAAACACGGAGGGGCAGGGGGACUCUGUGAUCCCUUAGGAGGUGGUCAGGAGGUCCUUCCCCUGUAUUUGCCCUCAGCGUCCGGGUUGUUUUCCAUGCAGGGGGUGUUCAGAAUUGGCCCUUGGGCUCUUCCUACAUGGAAGAGCUGAGACACCACCAGACAGAUGUCAGAAGAAAACUCAGGAAAAGGGUAGAGCAGCCGCCCUCCACAGUGAGGAAUUGGUGGAAUUUUGGCAUGAUGCUUGGGACCUAUCCUGGCUCAUCUCUUCUUUCUGGAGGAACAGAAACAGUAUCUGUGCAACCUGACCUGGACAGUGCCAAGCUGCGGAGAGACGCUGGCCGCUUCCCUCUCUCGGACCUCUCUCUGAACCUCAAGGGUAUAGUGGUGACCUUUGAGGACGUAGCUGUGUAUUUUACGGAGAAGGAGUGGACUCUGCUGGAUCCGGCCAAAGGGCUCUCCACAGGGACGUCAUGGAGGAGAAUUGGGCCAAUCUGGUCUCCCUAGCUACUGAUAUGGAAGGAAAGAAGAGUGAGAAAGAAAUAAAAAGCCACUCCCUGGGAACAGCCAUUAAUAAAAAGCAGAAACACGGCCCGAAAAGCACUAAUAACAAGAAGGGGAAAGAAACAAAUUGUCCAGUGGUCUCCACCGAGCAAGAACAGUAUGCAUCGGCUUUGAUUUAUCUGCUGGGCACUGACUUCAUUAACCGACAUGGCGAAGCAGGACAGUUCAUCUAUUAUCUGCGCCGAAAGCGUGCGGGAGCGAGGCAGACGUGGAUUCCUGGUUGGAUUCAUUACAAAUGCAAAAAGUUGAUCCUUUUCCGUUGCGCGGAGAGCCCAAAGAAGCCCAAAAACAAGUUGGAACAUUUUCAUCUGGGCAAUCUAGCCAAGAGACUCGCCAUUCACCAGAGAACGUGCGCCCCUCUGGAACUCUGCCCUUGCUUGGCUGACUUGCGACAAGUCCACCUGCACCAGAUCACCAACGACUGGGCACACCAGUACGAAUUCCCCCCAGAAACGUCAGGCUCGCAACCUGGAGCCAGCCAACCUUCCCGAGAACCAAGAGGGGAGCAGCAGGAAGCAGCACUGUAGGGACGGCAAGGGCAAGACGCUGGAUCCAGCACGCCCACCACUUCCCGUGACCAUAACCUGUACAGGACCCAUUUCAUUCCAAGAUGUGGGUGGGUCUCUUGGUUCACCUACCCUCCCCAAGGAAGGAGAAGAGGCUCUAGAUGAAGAACUAACUCUGGAUCUCCUUCUGAAUGACAGAGAAGCUGAUGAGCAGUUGCUGGAAGACAGGGUGGAUUUGAUUUAAAGCAAAUUAAUUUAAAUCAUAUUUAAAUCGCAAUUUAAAUUUUAAAAAUUGGAAUUUCUUUUCCAAUUAAAAUUGUAAUCAUCUUUUUUGAUUUAAAUCAUUAUUUUUGAUCAUUUAGAGUGGUGCCCCGCAUAACGAGCGCUUCGUUU